ACUACGGGUGGCAGCAGUGGGGAAUAUUGCACAAUGGGGGAAACCCUGAUGCAGCGACGCCGCGUGAGUGAAGAAGUAAUUCGUUACGUAAAGCUCUAUCAGCAGGGAAGAAAAUGACGGUACCUGAGUAAGAAGCCACGGCUAACUACGUGCCAGCAGCCGCGGGAAUACGUAGGGGGCAAGCGUUAUCCGGUUUUACUGGGUGUAAAGGGAGCGUAGCCGGUGGGGCAAGUCUGGAGUGAAAUGCCGCAGCUUAACUGCGGAAUUGCUUUGGAAACUGGCGAACUAGAGUGCGGGAGGGGUAAGCGGAAUUCCUAGUGUAGCGGUGAGAUGCGUAGAUAGUAGGAGGAACACCGGUGGCGAAGGCGGCUUACUGGACCGUAACUGACGUUGAGGCUCGAAAGCGUGGGGAGCAAACAGGAUUAGAUACCCUGGUAGUC
This 440-nucleotide ribosomal RNA is filed under the name uncultured bacterium. Its description in RNAcentral is "partial 16S ribosomal RNA". It matches the Rfam family "Bacterial small subunit ribosomal RNA", at positions 338 to 795 of the family's 1533-position model. The record is from RNAcentral.